CCUACGGGCGGCAGCAGUGAGGAAUAUUGGUCAAUGGGCGCGAGCCUGAACCAGCCAAGUCGCGUGAGGGAUGACGGCCCUACGGGUUGUCAACCUCUUUUGCCGGGGAGCAACGGGCGCCACGUGUGGCGCCACUGAGAGUACCCGGAGAAAAAGCAUCGGCUAACUCCGUGCCAGCAGCCGCGGUAAUACGGGGGAUGCGAGCGUUAUCCGGAUUUAGUGGGUUUAAAGGGUGCGUAGGCGGAUCGUUAAGUCAGUGGUCAAAUUGAGGGGCUCAACCCCUUCCCGCCAUUGAAACUGCAGCUCUUGAGUGAAGUAGAGGCAGGCGGAAUUCCUAGUGUAGCGGUGAAAUGCGUAGAUAUUAGGAGGAACACCAGUGGCGAAGGCGGCCUGCUGGGCUUUUACUGACGCUGAGGCUCGAAAGUGUGGGGAGCAAACAGGAUUAGAUACCCCAGUAGUC
RNAcentral lists this ribosomal RNA (460 nucleotides) under uncultured bacterium. RNAcentral's name for it is "partial 16S ribosomal RNA". It matches the Rfam family "Bacterial small subunit ribosomal RNA", at positions 338 to 795 of the family's 1533-position model. The record is from RNAcentral.